UACGUAGGGCGCAAGCGUUGUCCGGAAUUAUUGGGCGUAAAGAGCUCGUAGGCGGCUUGUCACGUCUGCUGUGAAAUCCCGGGGCUCAACCCCGGGCGUGCAGUGGAUACGGGCUGGCUAGAGGCAGGCAGGGGAGAACGGAAUUCCCGGUGUAGCGGUGAAAUGCGCAGAUAUCGGGAGGAACACCUGUGGCGAAGGUGGCAUCCUGGACCGGUAUUGACACUGAGGCGCGAAAGCCAGGGGAGCAAACGGG
Molecule: ribosomal RNA, 253 nt
Filed under: uncultured bacterium
Lineage: Bacteria
Description: partial 16S ribosomal RNA
Rfam family: Bacterial small subunit ribosomal RNA
Source: RNAcentral